AAUUAAAGAAAUGUAAUCGUUACAAUACCUCUCAAGAUUACCGCCGAUCCAAAGAGUGCACAAUUCAGCCUGAAUGUUACAAAUGCAUCUUUAUCCAUCUAUAUUUUUAGUGGCUUUUGACAUCCUUUUUCACCCUUUCAAAAUUUUAGAGUUUGUUCUUUCCUUUGAAUAGAGAAUGAUUUCAAAAUUUAGGAAUUGAAGCUCACCUUAAGGAGGGAGAGAGA
This 224-nucleotide unclassified non-coding RNA is filed under the name Hevea brasiliensis (rubber tree). The record is from RNAcentral. Lineage: Eukaryota; Viridiplantae; Streptophyta; Magnoliopsida; Malpighiales; Euphorbiaceae.